AAGCUUUGAACUUCACUGACGCACAAAUAUUUAGCCUUUUACUAACGAUUUCCGUGGAGGGGAAUGUUGACGAGUUCUUCUUAUUUUUGAAGGCUUUGCUAUGGCAGAGCU
Molecule: small nuclear RNA, 111 nt
Organism: Pygocentrus nattereri (red-bellied piranha)
Lineage: Eukaryota; Metazoa; Chordata; Actinopteri; Characiformes; Serrasalmidae
Gene: U5
Rfam family: U5 spliceosomal RNA
About the family: U5 RNA is a component of both types of known spliceosome. The precise function of this molecule is unknown, though it is known that the 5' loop is required for splice site selection and p220 binding, and that both the 3' stem-loop and the Sm site are important for Sm protein binding and cap methylation.
Source: Ensembl